GGGCGGUGCCCGGAGGAGCCGGGAGCCGAGCUUCGGUCGCGCCGGCGAAGCUCGGACUUGUCGUUCUUACCUGUGACUUGACCAGCGAGUCAGCUGGAAUUGAGUGACUGUGAUGGGCGCUGCUUUCGCAGGAAAGGGGAGCCCGUAGACGCGGUGAAGGCCACGCUCUCCGGCCGUUCGCCGAGCGCCGGCGUGAGGAGGCGGCUGCCUGCGCUGGGGACAGCGGAGCGCAGGCGGACUCCAGGAUGCUGCUCAGCUCCUCAGGAAUGCCAUAUCCCUUUUGGCAGCCUGGCACUCUGGAUUUUAUACCCUCCUUAAAGGGAGGAUGGCAAGAAGAUGAAGCCAGGCUCUUCUCAGUGAUGCCCAGCAAUAGGAAAAGAGGAACCAGCUUCUCCUGGGGAGGGGGAUGCCUGGGUAAGAGGCUCAGAGACCAUCCUGACAUCACUGCAAUCGUGAUUUCACCAGGAUACUGUACUGCAAGGAUCAUCCGAUGCUUUCUUCAUAAAUGGGACUAUCACCUGCAAUUCAGUGUGUGAAAAAUGUGAUUGACCUUCCCUAUUUCCUCAGAGAGCAACUAUGGCUCAGAAUGAAAUGCUGCCUUUGGAAUUAACCCAUCUGUAAUGGCAAGGAUCAUCUCCAAGCCCAUCAUUUCUGAAAUGCUUUUUUACUGGUGAAGGGGCAGUCUUCCGGGGCAAGUCCCUGAGCAGUGUCUUCUGGGCAAAAGACUAUGGUGAGGUCUGCCAGCACCCAGCCUGGGACAGAAGUCCACAGCAGCGGAGCCAGAGCUCUGAGGAGGCACUGCAGGUUCCCUCCCCGAUCCAGUCAAAAGAACCUGAUCUGCUCUGAAAGCCAGGAUUUUCUUCCAGAAUAUCAAGGGUCUGGUUCUUUUGGGCCCAACUGCAAAUCCAGGAGCCUUUGUCUGUAUUCUACAGAGCUCUGUCACUGCAAACAGACUCCUUUGGUUUCCAAGUAAGUCAAGCCCAGGACUUGUCCUGUGUUCUCUCCCUUUAUAUUUGUAUUACUGUUCCAUUACAUACAGCAGGGUGCUUCAGAGAGGAGAUGAAAAGAAGCUUGGAAGUUUGCCUCUAUAAAUGUGUGAAUUUAUUUUUAAACCUCUUGAAUUAUUUACUUUGUCUGCCUUUUUCAAUGACAGGUGAAUAUGUUUGUGACUUGUUCUCUUUCCCAAGGAAGCACUUGGUUGAAGUGAAUUAAUUACGUGUAGAGUAAAUGCAGCUGAUGUUAAUUUUCAAGUCAAGUUUUAGCUUUGCUGAAAUUUCAGAAAGAAAGUAGUGUUUUAUAAAUUAAAUGCUGCUUUGUGUGCUUUCUUUUUAAAGAAGGCUUGGCAUCUGGAAAGAAAGCAGGGAGAGAAAACAAACAUACUAAAUGAUGGAAACUCGUCUUUAAGGAUAUACUCCAUCAGCUAUCAGUACACAACUGUGAGAGAUCCAUGUGGCAGCUCAUCAACAGUAUAUUGAGGCUCCAGCAGCACCCCAACACCUUUGGCAGGAAUUGGUUUCAGUGGCAAAUUGCUGGUCUCUGGCAGGAGCUGCUGCUUUGACCUGACAGGGUGAUUAGAUUGGUUGCUCCUCUCUGUAACAGUACAUGCCAUGUGCUCUACCAGGAGAACCUCAUUCUUCUUCAGAGUGGUGUAGAUUCUGAUCCCAUGAGAGCUGAACUGACAGGAUCCUGGGCUGCCAGGCAUUGCCAGUGGGAUAGAUGAACCCUAGUUUCCCUUUGCUGUUCCAUCUGAGGCUCUAGUGAGCUUUUCAGAUCCUCUCUCCAGAAGGUUGGGCUGAUCUUAGAAUAACUCCUGUGGUGUGAGUUGUCUUGGGAGCACAGCACUUAGCUGGAUUGGUGCAGUGUGUUGAGACAGUGGCUCUGGAUCUGGCUGGACUCUCCUGAGGCAGGAGAUGCCCUGCAGGUCCCCAGCAGACAGGCCAGUUGUUAGAACAAUGAUUGUGGCAGAUGCUUGCCACCCUCAGGCAGCUAACAUAGAAAGGGUCAUCAUUAAUUUAACUCUGUAUCCAUCAAGCCUAGUUUCUGUCCCUGGAAUGACAACUCAUAUGUGAUGCUUUGCAAGAAAGCAGUUCCAGCUAGCCUCCACUGCUGCUGACAGGCAGUGGUGCUCUGUGCAUCUUAGCGGAGAGCUUAUCUGUUAUUAAACAUUCUCUUUUGAUUUUUUCGGGCUGCAGUAUUUACUGUCCGAGUUCUUAGGUCCCAGAUUCCCAGCUAUUGUGCUUAAAUUUGAUGGAGAUGACCCUGGGAGCAGAGGGAGAAGCUCCGUUGGGCUGAAACACUGAG
Lonchura striata (white-rumped munia) is the source of this 2301-nucleotide non-coding RNA. The record is from RefSeq and is a predicted model, not a curated record. NCBI's taxonomy places the organism in Eukaryota, Metazoa, Chordata, Aves, Passeriformes, Estrildidae.